RNAcentral lists this ribosomal RNA (460 nucleotides) under uncultured bacterium. Its description in RNAcentral is "partial 16S ribosomal RNA". It matches the Rfam family "Bacterial small subunit ribosomal RNA", at positions 338 to 795 of the family's 1533-position model. The record is from RNAcentral.
CCUACGGGUGGCAGCAGUGAGGAAUAUUGGUCAAUGGGCGCGAGCCUGAACCAGCCAAGUAGCGUGAAGGAUGACUGCCCUACGGGUUGUAAACUUCUUUUAUAAAGGAAUAAAAUGAAGCACGUUGGCCUUUUUGUAUGUACUUAAUGAAUAAGGACCGGCUAACUCAGUGCCAGCAGCCGCGGUAAUACGGAGGAUCCGAGCGUUAUCCGGAUUUUUUGGGUUUAAAGGGAGCGUAGAUGGGUUGUUAAGUCAGUUGUGAAAGUUUGCGGCUCAACCGUAAAAUUGCAAUUGAUACUGGCAGUCUUGAGUACAGUUGAGGUAGGCGGAAUUCGUGGUGUAGCGGUGAAAUGCUUAGAUAUCACGAAGAACUCCGAUUGCGAAGGCAGCUUACUAAACUGCCACUGACAUUGAUGCUCGAAAGUGUGGGUAUCAAACAGGAUUAGAUACCCCAGUAGUC